Sorghum bicolor (sorghum) is the source of this 1377-nucleotide RNA transcript. RefSeq lists it as uncharacterized. NCBI's taxonomy places the organism in Eukaryota, Viridiplantae, Streptophyta, Magnoliopsida, Poales, Poaceae. The transcript has 5 exons. The record is from RefSeq and is a predicted model, not a curated record.
CUUAUUUGAUCCCAAAACCCCGACCACUCCGCUCCACGUACGGCCACCAUGGUGCCGCUCCACUGCUCAGCUAGCGUCCACCUCCACCUCCACCUCCACUGCCUCUCGCCAUCUCGCCGACUCCCCCUUGCUACGUCCUUCCCUCUCCUCAGCCGUCGCCUCCGCCGCUCCACCGCCAUCCGCGCGGAGGCUGAAGUGCUGCCUCCGCCGCCCGUCUCCGCAGCGGAGCCAGAGCCCCCCGACGCCGGCGCUGUCGCCGAGGCCGAAGGGCAGGGACCCGUGGAGCUCCGCGCUCCGACGCUCUUCUCGACGGAUGACAAUCCCACCCCGCUCCAGACUGCCACCAGCCUCCUCCUCACCGGCGCCAUCUCGGUCUUCCUCUUCCGCUCCCUCCGCCGCCGCGCCCGCCGCGCCAAGGAGCUCAGAGUGCGGUCGAGCGGGGUGAAGAAGAAGCCCAACAAUCUCACCGAGGAGGCCCUGGAGGGGCUGAGGCUGGUGAGCGCCUCACCCAUCGAGACCGAGAAGCCGCCAUCACCAGUCCAGACUCUGCUCGGCGGGAUUGCGGCGGGGGUCAUCGCAGUCAUCCUCUACAAGUUCUCCACCACAAUCGAGGCUGCGCUCAACCGUCAGACCAUCUCCGACAGCUUCUCGGUUCGUCAGAUUACAAUCACGAUAAGAACAAUUAUCACUGGGCUGUGCUACCUAGCAACUUCUGUCUUUGGAAUCAAUGCAGUGGGAUUAGUUUUGUAUUCCCUCCAACUCACUUUACAAUCAAUCAUGGAUGAUGACUCCAGCUCCUCCACAGGGAAGAUUACUGAACAAGCUAAUACACUGGCAUCAUCUGAUAGCUCCACAAGUAGCAGGGAAUCGGACAGUAGUGACAUGCAUGUCUCUGACAAAAGUAAAAACUCGGCAGAGAAGCAAAGUUAGACAUGUAAUAUAAAUAGCCAAAAUCUGAGCUCUGAGGGUACAUAUAAUUUGACAAUCAUUAGGUGGAUAACAAAUUAACAAGACCUGUCAAGACUCACUCAAGCAAAACUGCAAAAGCUGGUGUUGAAAAGUGGUUCGUUCUGGUAUGCCCCAAAAAGCAGCUAGAGCUAUGAGGCAGUUGGGAUCAUCAUCCAUCUGUAAGCUGAAGGCUGCUCUGUGCUCACUUGGUGUCACAAUAAAAAAGCUUGGAGUAGAGUAAACAUUUCGUAACAUUUUGUAAGUCUUGUUCUGUUUGUAUGUCUGCACAUGUACUGCCUAUGAGGUUAUGAACAAAGACACCUGCGUUCUUUUCAUUUUUGUUUGCAACUUUUAUAUGGCGCGCGUGUUUCGAAACAGAUGCUGGAUUUAUGGAUUGGGAAAAGAUUAAGAACAGUAGGUAAAUAUGCA